UCGAAUUUACAAGGGGGGAGAAGGAAAAGGGGAAAGAUGAAGGGGGGAAAGAUUGUCGCUGGGGGGUUUUCCCUGUGCACGUCGUUCUUUCUUUGUUUGACUCCGUUCCUCUCUUUCCUUCACACACACACACCUUGUGCACCUGUUGUAGGUCUCUCUCGAUAAAGAGGACCUAUGUUUUUUCACAUCACACCCUUAUCGUAUGUCCAUAGAAUGUAUGGGAAAAUGAUAUAUA
RNAcentral lists this unclassified non-coding RNA (235 nucleotides) under uncultured Boletus. Its description in RNAcentral is "sequence contains ITS1". The record is from RNAcentral. Lineage: Eukaryota; Fungi; Basidiomycota; Agaricomycetes; Boletales; Boletaceae.